RNAcentral lists this unclassified non-coding RNA (342 nucleotides) under soil metagenome. RNAcentral's name for it is "partial contains 5.8S ribosomal RNA, internal transcribed spacer 2, and large subunit ribosomal RNA". The stretch from base 1 to 120 matches the Rfam family "5.8S ribosomal RNA", at positions 35 to 154 of the family's 154-position model. The record is from RNAcentral.
GAUGAAGAACGCAGCGAAAUGCGAUAUGUAGUGUGAAUUGCAGAAUUCAGUGAAUCAUCGAAUCUUUGAACGCACAUUGCGGCCAUAGGUAUUCCUUUGGCCAUGCCUGUUCGAGCGUCAUUUACACCCUCAAGCCUAGCUUGGUGUUGGGCGCCUGUCCCGCCGUUUUCGCGCGCGGACUCGCCUCAAAGUCAUUGGCGGCGGUCGUGCCGGCCCCCUCGCGCAGCACAUUUGCGCUUCUCGGAGGCCCGGCGGAUCCGCGCUCCAGCAAGACCUUUCACGACUUGACCUCGGAUCAGGUAGGGAUACCCGCUGAACUUAAGCAUAUCAAUAAGCGGAGGA